Wyeomyia smithii (pitcher-plant mosquito) is the source of this 964-nucleotide long non-coding RNA. RefSeq lists it as uncharacterized. The transcript has 4 exons. Lineage: Eukaryota; Metazoa; Arthropoda; Insecta; Diptera; Culicidae. The record is from RefSeq and is a predicted model, not a curated record.
GUUUUAUUAAUUUAUUCCGUGGCUUUAGUCUCCAGUGUUAUUGUGUUGCUUGUCUCUGUUUAUCGGUUUUGAUCGUUUUGAUUGAGUGUUCACGAGUGAGGAAAUUACUUCUGCGUGGUACAAACCGUCGAAGCUAGCGGUCACUGUGGUUCCGUAGAAUUCAGGAAAGGCAGCUACCUCAAUUUAAGAAUUUGGCUUUUAUCAUUUGCUAGAACAUAACGGAACUUCAAUGAAAUUUACACCAAAGGAAGAUGGUGCAUUUGACCGCGAUGAGUAGUUGCUGGAGGAGCGAUUACUGAUGAUGCGGGAGGAGAGGAUGGAACAAUGUAGCUACAACAAAACGACAACACAGAAAAAGAAAGGUGUAAAAGAUUGUGUAUUAGGCCACUUUCUGCAUAGUUUUAAGUUAUAUAUAUUGUUUAUUCAAAAGCAAGCUUAAUCAGUAAUCUGUAAAUCUGUAUUAGGACAUAAAAAAGUUAAAGGGUAUGUGCUUGAGUGCACAAACGUAGGCUUGACGUGGGACUAUUGUGGGUGUAAAGAUUCAAUUCUGCCAUAGCCAUAGUAUAAAACACACACCAAACGUACAAAUACCAAACACAACAAUCCAUGAACACUUCACAAAAAAACACAUACACCUGUCAUAAACCAUAGCAUACAAACUAAUAGGAAAAAUAAUUGUUGCCUAAAAAAGUAUUCUGUCAUGAAUAAAUUUACCUCGGAUGAAUGCAUUUUUGCACACACAUACACGUUAUACACACUCACACGCUAUAUACACACACUACUCACAAGCACACGUUCCUCAGACACACCCACGCCACUUACACACAUACACACACGCCACUCACACACACACAAACAUUAACACACACACACAAACAUUAACACACACAACGUUAACACACACACAAACAUUAACACACACUCACACACACACACACACACACACAAACAUUAACACACACAC